This 634-nucleotide long non-coding RNA is filed under the name Gopherus agassizii (Agassiz's desert tortoise). RNAcentral's name for it is "lncRNA (ENSGAGG00000017179.1)". Lineage: Eukaryota; Metazoa; Chordata; Testudines; Testudinidae. The record is from RNAcentral.
UUGUCCUGUCUCGUUGGACAUUACUGUGCUGAUGAAAUCACCAGCAGGGAGGCCAUGCUGCUUGCUAUGGUUUGCCCUGCAGGCCUGUUGUGCCCCGAAGGACAGGCAGUCGCUCCAGAUCCCAAUGGAAAUGCCUGCCCAAGAGGAUACUACUGUCCCCGGGGUGAUAUUGACUCUCAUGCUAGACCUUGCCCUAAUGGAACCUAUAGUGAGCAGAAGGGUCUGGGCAGAGUGGAUGAAUGCUUGCUAUGUCCUGCAGGGAAGUACUGCUACAGGGAAUGGAGAGAGCCCCGAGGAAUUCCCCAUCCAACUGGAGACUGCCCCCCAGGAUACAUGUGCCCCCCAGGGACUGGAUUCCCCUUCUCUUUUCCCUGUCUGCCUGGCUUCUACUGGGAUAGUUCUGCUGUGGAAGGAAGAAAUACUUGCAAACCAUGUCCUGCAGGGUACUAUUGUGACUCUCCUGCCAUGACACAGCCCAAAACUUGCCCAGCUGGUUCUUACUGUGCCAGAGGUAGCUCCCGUCCUGAGCCCUGCCCAGAGGGCACAUAUGGUAGCAGAAAGGAGCUGGCUGUGCUACUGGACUGCAGCCCGUGUGGAGGUGGGUUCUACUGUGCUGGCCAAGGACAGACAGGCC